Molecule: transfer RNA, 77 nt
Filed under: Clostridiales bacterium
Lineage: Bacteria; Bacillati; Bacillota; Clostridia; Eubacteriales
Also listed under: 1 other name
Description: tRNA-Arg
Rfam family: tRNA
About the family: Transfer RNA (tRNA) molecules are approximately 80 nucleotides in length. Their secondary structure includes four short double-helical elements and three loops (D, anti-codon, and T loops).
Source: RNAcentral
GCGCUGUUAGCUAAGCUGGAUAUAGCGUUCGGCUACGGACCGAAAGGACGGGGGUUCGAAUCCCUCACAGCGCGCCA